AUGAGGCGAACCGGGGGAACUGAAACAUCUAAGUACCCCGAGGAAAAGAAAUCAACCGAGAUUCCCCCAGUAGCGGMGAGCGAACGGGGAGGAGCCCAGAGCCUGAAUCAGCAUGUGUGUUAGUGGAAGCGUCUGGAAAGGCGCGCGAUACAGGGUGACAGCCCCGUACACAAAAGCGCAUGUGCUGUGAGCUCGAUGAGUAGGGCGGGACACGUGGUAUCCUGUCUGAAUAUGGGGGGACCAUCCUCCAAGGCUAAAUACUCCUGACUGACCGAUAGUGAACCAGUACCGUGAGGGAAAGGCGAAAAGAACCCCGGCGAGGGGAGUGAAAAAGAACCUGAAACCGUGUACGUACAAGCAGUGGGAGCACCCUUCGGGGUGUGACUGCGUACCUUUUGUAUAAUGGGUCAGCGACUUAUAUUCUGUAGCAAGGUUAACCGUAUAGGGGAGCCGGAGGGAAACCGAGUCUUAAUUGGGCGUUAAGUUGCAGGGUAUAGACCCGAAACCCGGUGAUCUAGCCAUGGGCAGGUUGAAGGUUGGGUAACACUAACUGGAGGACCGAACCGACUAAUGUUGAAAAAUUAGCGGAUGACCUGUGGCUGGGGGUGAAAGGCCAAUCAAACCGGGAGAUAGCUGGUUCUCCCCGAAAGCUAUUUAGGUAGCGCCUCGUGAAUUCAUCUCCGGGGGUAGAGCACUGUUUCGGCUAGGGGGCCAUCCCGGCUUACCAACCCGAUGCAAACUGCGAAUACCGGAGAAUGUUAUCACGGGAGACACACGGCGGGUGCUAACGUCCGUCGUGAAGAGGGAAACAACCCAGACCGCCAGCUAAGGUCCCAAAGUCAUGGUUAAGUGGGAAACGAUGUGGGAAGGCCCAGACAGCCAGGAUGUUGGCUUAGAAGCAGCCAUCAUUUAAAGAAAGCGUAAUAGCUCACUGGUCGAGUCGGCCUGCGCGGAAGAUGUAACGGGGCUAAACCAUGCACCGAAGCUGCGGCAGCGAACGUAUCACCCAAGACAACUUUACGGAGUUGACGAUUGACGGAGCGAAGCGACGUCAAAGCGUUCAUUAAAGUCGAGUUGGCUUAGGGAUACGUUCGUUGGGUAGGGGAGCGUUCUGUAAGCCUGUGAAGGUGUGUCGUGAGGCAUGCUGGAGGUAUCAGAAGUGCGAAUGCUGACAUAAGUAACGAUAAAGCGGGUGAAAAGCCCGCUCGCCGGAAGACCAAGGGUUCCUGUCCAACGUUAAUCGGGGCAGGGUGAGUCGACCCCUAAGGCGAGGCCGAAAGGCGUAGUCGAUGGGAAACGGGUUAAUAUUCCCGUACUUGGUGUUACUGCGAAGGGGGGACGGAGAAGGCUAUGUUGGCCGGGCGACGGUUGUCCCGGUUUAAGCGUGUAGGUGUGUGUUCCAGGUAAAUCCGGUUCACUUUAACACUGAGGCGUGACGACGAGGCACUACGGUGCUGAAGCAACAAAUGCCCUGCUUCCAGGAAAAGCCUCUAAGCAUCAGGUAACAUCAAAUCGUACCCCAAACCGACACAGGUGGUCAGGUAGAGAAUACCAAGGCGCUUGAGAGAACUCGGGUGAAGGAACUAGGCAAAAUGGUGCCGUAACUUCGGGAGAAGGCACGCUGACACGUAGGUGAAGUGAUUUACUCAUGGAGCUGAAGUCAGUCGAAGAUACCAGCUGGCUGCAACUGUUUAUUAAAAACACAGCACUGUGCAAACACGAAAGUGGACGUAUACGGUGUGACGCCUGCCCGGUGCCGGAAGGUUAAUUGAUGGGGUCAGCGCAAGCGAAGCUCCUGAUCGAAGCCCCGGUAAACGGCGGCCGUAACUAUAACGGUCCUAAGGUAGCGAAAUUCCUUGUCGGGUAAGUUCCGACCUGCACGAAUGGCGUAAUGAUGGCCAGGCUGUCUCCACCCGAGACUCAGUGAAAUUGAACUCGCUGUGAAGAUGCAGUGUACCCGCGGCAAGACGGAAAGACCCCGUGAACCUUUACUAUAGCUUGACACUGAACAUUGAGCCUUGAUGUGUAGGAUAGGUGGGAGGCUUUGAAGUGUGGACGCCAGUCUGCAUGGAGCCGACCUUGAAAUACCACCCUUUAAUGUUUGAUGUUCUAACGUGGACCCGUUAYCCGGGUUGCGGACAGUGUCUGGUGGGUAGUUUGACUGGGGCGGUCUCCUCCUAAAGAGUAACGGAGGAGCACGAAGGUUGGCUAAUCCUGGUCGGACAUCAGGAGGUUAGUGCAAUGGCAUAAGCCAGCUUGACUGCGAGCGUGACGGCGCGAGCAGGUGCGAAAGCAGGUCAUAGUGAUCCGGUGGUUCUGAAUGGAAGGGCCAUCGCUCAACGGAUAAAAGGUACUCCGGGGAUAACAGGCUGAUACCGCCCAAGAGUUCAUAUCGACGGCGGUGUUUGGCACCUCGAUGUCGGCUCAUCACAUCCUGGGGCUGAAGUAGGUCCCAAGGGUAUGGCUGUUCGCCAUUUAAAGUGGUACGCGAGCUGGGUUUAGAACGUCGUGAGACAGUUCGGUCCCUAUCUGCCGUGGGCGCUGGAGAACUGAGGGGGGCUGCUCCUAGUAC
This 2572-nucleotide ribosomal RNA is filed under the name Salmonella enterica subsp. enterica serovar Typhimurium. RNAcentral describes it as "bacterial LSU rRNA". It matches the Rfam family "Bacterial large subunit ribosomal RNA", at positions 174 to 2684 of the family's 2925-position model. Lineage: Bacteria; Pseudomonadati; Pseudomonadota; Gammaproteobacteria; Enterobacterales; Enterobacteriaceae. The record is from RNAcentral.